AGCAAUAUCAAGAUAUAUAAUAAUCCCCUCAUUCCAGAAUAGUCUCUUGUGUUCUUUCCAGCCAAUGCCCCACCCCUGGAUUCUGGCAACAAUUCAUCUGCUUUUUAUUACCAUGGAUCAUAUUUGUCUUUCCUAGAGAUACAAAUCAAUGAAAUAAUGUAGUGUGUCCUCUUUAACUUUGGCUUGUUUCUCUCAGCACACUAUUUCUGAAAUUUGUCCAUACUGUUGAUAUGGCAGACAGAAUUUUAAGAUGGUUCCUAAAAUUCUUGCCUCCUGGUAUAUAUAAUUUUCUCUCAGUUUUCCACUGAACACUAAUCUAGUGUAAUCUAUUGUAAAGGGAUUUCUCAAGUGUAAUUAAAGUCCCUAAUAAGUUUAUUUUAAGUUAGAAAAAUUUUCCCAGGUGAACUUGAGCUAAGUGAGUGACCUAAGCAGGUGAGUCAUUAGAAAAAAAUUAAGAGAUAUUUGAAGCAUAGACAAAAUUCUGUCGGCUUUUAAAAGAAAACUUCCAUGUGAUAGAGAAAGCCAGAUGAUAGGGAACACAAGGUUACCUCUAAAUUGACAACCAGCAAAAAAGCUGAGACUUCAGUCUUAUCAUCAUAAGGAAUUGAAUUCUGUCAAUAGCCAUGUGACCUUAGAGGAGGACCCUGAGCUGCAGAUGAGAUCAUGGCCCUGGCCAAUACCUUAAAUUCAUCCUGGUGAGAUAUGAGCAGAGAACUCAGCUAUGCCAUGCUCAGAUUUCUCACCUGUAAAGCAGUGAAUUAAUAAGUGGACAUUAUUUGAAGCUGCUAAGUUUGUGGUGAUUUGUUACACACCAAGAGAAAACAUAUACUGUAUAUAUCAUUAGAUUUUUCCUUUAUAUUGGUGGGUGUAUUUGUUAUCUAUUACUUCCUAACAAAUUGACAAUAAUUAAGUGUCUUAAGACAACACAUAUUUAUUACCUCAUAGUUUCUGUGGGUCAGAAAUUUGGGCAUGGUUUAUGUGAGUUCUUUGAUUUAAAGUUGUUGGCAAGUCUGUAAACAAGGAAGCAGUCAGGACCGAGGUCUCAUCUGAAAGUCAACUUGGGAUGGAUCUGCUUCCAGCCUUACUUAACAUAACAGUUGGCAGGAUUCAGUUGCUCUGGGGUAGUUGGAUUGGUGGCCUCAGAUAACUAGGUAGCUAUUAGCUAGAUUUCACCCUCAGUUUGUUGCCAUGUGGGCCUCCCCAAGGUGGCAAUUUACUUCAUCAAAACCAGCAAGGGAGAGAGUCGGCUACAAUCUCUAGUAAUAUAGCUACAGAAAUGACAUCCCCUUAGCAAUGAGAUAUUUUAUUAAUUAGAAAGAAAUUACUCAACAGGAGGGGAUUGCACAAUGUAGUGAAUACCAGGAGGCUGAGAUCAGAAGGAGCUAGUUUAGAAGCUGCCUACCACAGUGAGUAGUAUUCUAUUACAUGAAUAUACUAGAAUGUCUGUAUCCACCCAACUGGGCAUAGACAUUUGUGUUCAUUCAAGAUACGGACUAUUAUGAUUUUAAAAAUAAAAGUUAGUAUGAACAUUUAAGUAUAA
RNAcentral lists this long non-coding RNA (1540 nucleotides) under Pongo abelii (Sumatran orangutan). RNAcentral's name for it is "lincRNA". Lineage: Eukaryota; Metazoa; Chordata; Mammalia; Primates; Hominidae. The record is from RNAcentral.